This 352-nucleotide unclassified non-coding RNA is filed under the name soil metagenome. Its description in RNAcentral is "partial contains 5.8S ribosomal RNA, internal transcribed spacer 2, and large subunit ribosomal RNA". The stretch from base 1 to 120 matches the Rfam family "5.8S ribosomal RNA", at positions 35 to 154 of the family's 154-position model. The record is from RNAcentral.
GAUGAAGAACGCAGCGAAAUGCGAUAAGUAAUGUGAAUUGCAGAAUUCAGUGAAUCAUCGAAUCUUUGAACGCACAUUGCGCCCGCCAGUAUUCUGGCGGGCAUGCCUGUUCGAGCGUCAUUACAACCCUCAGGCCCCCGGGCCUGGUGUUGGGGAUCGGCGGAGCCCCCCGUGGGCACACGCCGCCCCCCAAAUACAGUGGCGGUCCCGCCGCAGCUUCCAUCGCGUAGUAGCUAACACCUCGCGACUGGAGAGCGGCGCGGCCACGCCGUAAAACACCCAACUCUUCUGAAGUUGACCUCGAAUCAGGUAGGAAUACCCGCUGAACUUAAGCAUAUCAAUAAGCGGAGGA